ACACCCUCAAGCACUGCUUGGUGUUGGGCGUCUGUCCCGCCUCCGCGCGUGGACUCGCCCCAAAGUCAUUGGCAGCGGUCUCAGCACCUCAACGCGCAGUACAAUGCGUUCAUUGGAGUGCUUUGGACGCGACCAUAAAGCUAUUUACCGUCU
This 153-nucleotide unclassified non-coding RNA is filed under the name uncultured Montagnulaceae. RNAcentral's name for it is "sequence contains ITS2". The record is from RNAcentral. Lineage: Eukaryota; Fungi; Ascomycota; Dothideomycetes; Pleosporales; Didymosphaeriaceae.